This 85-nucleotide transfer RNA is filed under the name Felis catus (domestic cat). It matches the Rfam family "tRNA". Rfam says of the family: Transfer RNA (tRNA) molecules are approximately 80 nucleotides in length. Their secondary structure includes four short double-helical elements and three loops (D, anti-codon, and T loops). The record is from Rfam by way of RNAcentral. Lineage: Eukaryota; Metazoa; Chordata; Mammalia; Carnivora; Felidae.
GCUUGGGUGGCUUAGUCGGUUAAGUAUCCGACUUCUGCUCAGAUCAUGAUCUCAUGGUUCGUGGGUUUGAGCCCCACAUCGGGCU